This 27-nucleotide non-coding RNA is filed under the name Homo sapiens (human). Lineage: Eukaryota; Metazoa; Chordata; Mammalia; Primates; Hominidae. The record is from RNAcentral.
UGCGAAUCUGGACUCGGCAACAGAACC